This 2632-nucleotide unclassified non-coding RNA is filed under the name Leishmania donovani. Its description in RNAcentral is "gene:LdHU3.35.4630(CDS-product:hypothetical_prote in_conserved)". Lineage: Eukaryota; Euglenozoa; Kinetoplastea; Trypanosomatida; Trypanosomatidae. The record is from RNAcentral.
GUCUUUGUCAAGCUACUCUGACCUGUACGUGUGCACUGCGUUCCCUCACCCUUCCAUUCCCACCCUGCUCGCCUCUAACCUCGUUUGCACCGCUCAUCCGGGCACAGGAGGCGCAGAAGAGCGACACUCUAAGUCACCAGAGCGUGCUGCGUGCUCGUCAUUGACUCCUGGAAGGAACGCAAGUUAAGUACAACACGCAUCACACCGCUGAGGAUUUCACAGAAAAAAAAAGAGCGACCGCCCCCAAGCACUCCCGUAGACCGAAUCGACGAAGGCGAUCGGCGCCUUAUACAGAAGACUGCACAGCGUGGCCGAAAGCCUUUUUCUUUUGCUUAGCAUCAGCCACCGCAACGGUAGCGCGACUCAGCAGGAUGCAGUCUUAUCGUCUCGAGGUGGCCGUGAAGCGAGUGUACGGACUCGACCCGCUCAUCGCCAGCGUCGCGUCAACGAUUUCUGUGGAGGUGCGCUUCCUCGACUUUCCCCCCAUCGUGAUACACCCGCAAGGCUACGCUAUUGGCGACUCAGUGACAUAUAACAUCUGCCACAAGGCUGACUUUCGAAUGAGCAGUGAGCAGGCUGUCGCUGUCUUUCCUGCCAUGUGUCAGUGUCAGCUGGUCAGCGUGAAGGAAGGGGCAGUCGUUGGCGCUGCGCGGUGGUCGUGUCCGUGUCCGUUGGUACCGCAACCCGAUGCAGCUGCCCAACCUCCCCUGCGCACGUACGCCGACUACGUCAUCGGCAACGCUGCCGGUGAGACAGUGGGCUACGCCGAUAUGAGCUGCCGGGUGCUCUCGCAGGAUGCGCCGGCACCGCGGGCAUCGGUGAUGCCGCUGCCGAUCGCUGCACCCCCUGUCCGCGAUGCCGAGCCCAGCAGAGAAACGGGCGCCGAGCAGGGCAAGCCGUACAUCGUGCGUGUGGUAGUAGGUGAAAGUGAUCGGCAUCGCCGCCCAAGCCAGCCUCCUCGCUGCGAAGGCGUGCAGGACGCGUCACGCGGGCACGAGGCGACGGCAGCGCGUGCCAGUGUUAGUGAUCGUGGUCAGCCGCCAAGGCGUGUGCCGGCCAACACCGCCGAAAAGAGCAGUCUACUUCAUCUCCUGCAGUACGAUGUGGCGUAUCAGCUGCAAUCUCUUAGCGAAACCGUCGCGGCAGCGCUGCACCGAGAGCACGAUGUGUUGACACGCACGCCACUCAAAGGACCGGACAAGAGUGGCGCCGUCAGCACCUCCCGGCUUACCAAGUCCAUCGACAACCAUGUGGCAUCAAUUGUGAGGGUGGCAAACAUCAUAUUGCAGGUGGCAAAUCAGCUUGUGGACAACAGCCCUGCCCCACCGCGUAUCGGCACUAGUCGUGAGGUGAAGGACAUGAUACGGCAGUGGCGCAACCCAGUGAACAAGCUGCCGCUUCCCGCUGAAGGCUCCGUAGGCCAUUACUUACAGUACGACGUGCUCUACCAACUCCAGUGUUUGGGUACCAACUUGGCGUACAUGAUCGUUGCCUACCGCGCGGCGCUAGACACACCACUGUCGUCGAUCCCUGCACAGCACGUAGAGUACUGCGACGAGCUUGGGCACGAGAUUCAGCACCUCACGAAGCACAUCAACAUUCUCGUCCAAUCUAGCGUGGAUGGAACGCUCAGCACAGCGGCGCCGUCCAUCGUGCCCGAGCCUGUCGCACAUGAUAAACACCGAAAGAGAAGCAAGGGAAACUCGCAGAGCACACCGCCGGCUGCAGGGCCGCAGCUAGCCCCUCCCAAGUUCACUGGUGCCGCCAAGAGCUUGAGCAGGACUUCCUACUCGUCUUUCAGCAGCACCCGUAGCGCGAGCAGUAGUAGUUUGUCCUCAUCUUCCUUGUCAUCGUCCUUGAAUCGACCGCCAGCGCGGGGGUCGCCGCCGCAGGCGCCAACAGUCGUAACCGUCCCGGCAACUCCGCCGCCAGCCGUGUCAUCACAGCAGGCGGCGGCACCCGCGCCGAACGCCACGUCCCAGCCCCUGCCACCGCCGCCUUCCUACAACGCGGCGGCGGCAACAACAUCAAGCCAGCAAACGUCGCCUCCACUGCCCACCCAGCCGCCGCCGCCCUACACCGUCGCCGCGCCAUCGGCUCAGUCAACGGCAACGCCACUUCCAACGCCAGCAAAGUCGCGAACGGGGCUCUCGCCCUCCAACUCAAUAGAAUCCUUCAGCGCGCCAACCGUCCCGUCGCAGGCGAAUCAGCUCGUGUCACCCGUCUCUUGGAUUAACCAAGAAAGUAACUAUCAGUCACCUCCAGUCGCCACGUCGCCACCGUCGCUUCACACCGCGUUGCAGAGCACGGGCAUGUACGGCACGGCUUCUUCCACCUUUGCGCCGCAGCCCGUCCUCGCCACCGGCGGCCCACCUGUGCUCCACCCUCCGUACUUGUCCUCGGUGCCUCCACCGCUCGCAACGCCGACUCCCCUGGCGCCGCCAAGCGCUGCACCGUCACCGCCACCAAUGGCCGCACCAAAGCUGGCCACGCAGCUGCCGAUUCAGCCGCAGUCCCAGGCACCUUUGGCGAUUCCCAUACCCGUCCCCAUCCCACGCUGACGUGUUCACUAGCAGGAACGCGCCCUUCUUUGCAUAUUUUUAGAGAAACCGUCCGCCACCUGCUCUUAUAG